UACGAGGGGAGCAAGCGUUGUUCGGAUUUACUGGGCGUAAAGGGCGCGUAGGCGGCGUGACUAGUCACUUGUGAAAUCUCCGGGCUUAACUCGGAACGGUCAAGUGAUACUGUCGUGCUAGAGUACAGAAGGGGCAACUGGAAUUCUCGGUGUAGCGGUGAAAUGCGUAGAUAUCGGGAGGAACACCAGUGGCGAAGGCGACUUCCUGGCCUGUUCUUGACGCUGAGGCGCGAAAGCUAGGGGAGCAAACGGG
This 253-nucleotide ribosomal RNA is filed under the name uncultured bacterium. Its description in RNAcentral is "partial 16S ribosomal RNA". It matches the Rfam family "Bacterial small subunit ribosomal RNA", at positions 524 to 776 of the family's 1533-position model. The record is from RNAcentral.